Molecule: ribosomal RNA, 498 nt
Filed under: uncultured bacterium
Lineage: Bacteria
Description: partial 16S ribosomal RNA
Rfam family: Bacterial small subunit ribosomal RNA
Source: RNAcentral
AUUGAACGCUGGCGGCAUGCUUUACACAUGCAAGUCGAACGGUAACAGGCCGCAAGGUGCUGACGAGUGGCGAACGGGUGAGUAAUGCAUCGGAACGUGCCCAGUCGUGGGGGAUAACGCAGCGAAAGUUGCGCUAAUACCGCAUACGAUCUAUGGAUGAAAGCGGGGGACCGUAAGGCCUCGCGCGAUUGGAGCGGCCGAUGUCAGACUAGGUAGUUGGUGGGGUAAAGGCUCACCAAGCCGACGAUCUGUAGCUGGUCUGAGAGGACGACCAGCCACACUGGGACUGAGACACGGCCCAGACUCCUACGGGAGGCAGCAGUGGGGAAUUUUGGACAAUAGGCGCAAGCCUGAUCCAGCAAUGCCGCGUGCAGGAAGAAGGCCUUUGGGUUGUAAACUGCUUUUGUACGGAACGAAACGGUCCUGGUUAAUACCCGGGGCUAAUGACGGUACCGUAAGAAUAAGCACCGGCUAACUACGUGCCAGCCGCCGCAGUAA